Molecule: transfer RNA, 71 nt
Filed under: Ovis aries (sheep)
Lineage: Eukaryota; Metazoa; Chordata; Mammalia; Artiodactyla; Bovidae
Rfam family: tRNA
About the family: Transfer RNA (tRNA) molecules are approximately 80 nucleotides in length. Their secondary structure includes four short double-helical elements and three loops (D, anti-codon, and T loops).
Source: Rfam by way of RNAcentral
CCUGGUGGCUCAGAGGUUUUAAAGCAUCUGCCUGCAAUGCAGGAGACCCAGGUUCGAUCCCUGGGUCAGGA